UACAGAGGGUGCGAGCGUUGUCCGGAAUCACUGGGCGUAAAGGGCGCGUAGGCGGCGCGGUAAGUCGGGUGUGAAAUCUCGGAGCUUAACUCCGAAACUGCAUUCGAUACUGCCGUGCUUGAGGACUGGAGAGGAGACUGGAAUUUACGGUGUAGCGGUGAAAUGCGUAGAUAUCGUAAGGAAGACCAGUGGCGAAGGCGGGUCUCUGGACAGUUCCUGACGCUGAGGCACGAAGGCCAGGGGAGCAAACGGG
Molecule: ribosomal RNA, 253 nt
Filed under: uncultured bacterium
Lineage: Bacteria
Description: partial 16S ribosomal RNA
Rfam family: Bacterial small subunit ribosomal RNA
Source: RNAcentral